GUGAGGAAUAUUGGACAAUGGGCGCAAGCCUGAUCCAGCGACGCCGCGUGAGUGAUGAAGGCCUUUGGGUCGUAAAGCUCUGUCAGCAGGGAAGAACGGCCGUGUGGUUAAUACCCAUGCGGAUUGACGGUACCUGCAGAGGAAGCACCGGCUAACUCCGUGCCAGCAGCCGCGGUAAUACGGAGGGUGCGAGCGUUAAUCGGAAUUACUGGGCGUAAAGGGCGCGUAGGCGGCUGAUCAAGUCAGGUGUGAAAGCCCACGGCUUAACCGUGUGAAGUGCAUCUGAAACUGGUCGGCUUGAGUAUCGGAGAGGAAAGUGGAAUUCCCGGUGUAGAGGUGAAAUUCGUAGAUAUCGGGAGGAAUACCGGUGGCGAAGGCGACUUUCUGGACGAAUACUGACGCUGAGGCGCGAAAGCGUGGGGAGCAAACAGGAUUAGAAACCCUGGUAGUCC
Molecule: ribosomal RNA, 452 nt
Filed under: uncultured bacterium
Lineage: Bacteria
Description: bacterial SSU rRNA
Rfam family: Bacterial small subunit ribosomal RNA
Source: RNAcentral